AUUAACUGCUAAACUCAUCACAGCCAGGAUUUGUCUGCCUCCUGCCGCUGUCGCUACCAUCUGGGAGUAAGGGCGAAAGAAGACAGAAACUUCCAAGAAAGAAUCCUGAGUGAUGUCAGCAAGAAUGGCUAAGUAAGGACCUCCAGAAGUUCUCUGCCCCGUACAAGCCAUGCAAAUACUGACAAAACUGUGAGAAUCAGAUUUUUCACAACUCUGGAACAUUUAUUCCAGCAAGCAGCAAAUGUUCCCCUUGCAGCAAGC
Molecule: long non-coding RNA, 261 nt
Filed under: Homo sapiens (human)
Lineage: Eukaryota; Metazoa; Chordata; Mammalia; Primates; Hominidae
Description: HSALNT0232804
Source: RNAcentral